This is a long non-coding RNA of Bubalus bubalis (water buffalo), 505 nucleotides long. RefSeq lists it as uncharacterized. NCBI's taxonomy places the organism in Eukaryota, Metazoa, Chordata, Mammalia, Artiodactyla, Bovidae. The transcript has 3 exons. The record is from RefSeq and is a predicted model, not a curated record.
AGUGUACAGUCUGCCCCGAGCUGGAGUGCAGCUUUCAGGAUGGAGCCUGUUCUGUCUGUUUCCUUCUUCAGUGGGAGUCAUGUACUCAACGCUUCCGAGUGUGUGCGGGCGUGAAUGAGAGGCCAGCGAUGGAAGAGAUGCAGGGCGGCGGUCUGGCAGGUAAUGAAGACUGAGACAGAAGCUCCUCCCUGGGGUGAUUUUCACAAUAGUACAGGUGCCCCUGAGGCUUCUCUGAUAGCUCAGCUGGUAACGAAUCCUCCUGCAAUGUGGGAGACCUGGGUUCGAUCCCUGGGUUGGGAAGAUCCCCUGGAGAAGGGAAAGGCUACCCACUCCAGUAUUCUGGCCUGGAGAAUUCCACGGACUUGAGGUCGAAAAGAGUCAGACAUGACUGAGUGACUUUCACUUCACUUUCAGAGGUGCCCCUGAAAGAAGAUCGGAUCUGCCAGGAAGGAUUCAUUAGAAGGACUGAUGCUGAAGCUGAAACUCCAAUACUUUGGUGGGAAGA